Molecule: long non-coding RNA, 1208 nt
Organism: Ostrea edulis (European flat oyster)
Lineage: Eukaryota; Metazoa; Mollusca; Bivalvia; Ostreida; Ostreidae
Exons: 3
Source: RefSeq, a predicted model, not a curated record
AGCACCCUGAAGAUUCACUUGAGACUCAGGUGUGUAAAUGUAUACAUGUACUUUGAAUGAUGUUGUAAAAGUCUAUGCAAGUAUUUAUUUUUCUGAGCACAUCAAAAUAUUUGUUAAUGAUGCAUGAACAUUGUAUGCAUGUUUGAUAUGUAUCUUGAUCCAUCUAUUUUCACUUUCAGAGUGAUAUACCUGUAAGGACUCCUUGUGAACAUGAUGACAAUUAAUGGUGCAGUUUGUCAAUAGAGCAGAACGGCAAUGCCACAAUGUUUCUUAUUGGAUGGUGGCAUGACCUGAAAUGGCUCUGCAAAAUUUCCCCAGAAUUGGAUUUCUUAGAGACUGUGGUUUGGCCAAGAACAAUAGAAUUGAUAGUCCUAGAGUAUGCAAGAAAGAAUCCGUGCAGAAGGACCAUGAACCCACUAGACCGAAGUUCAGAGUACCCUCUUGGACUGCGGCUAUAUAAUGUCAGACAUAUUCUGAUAACUUCCUUAGAUCAUCGACGACCCUUCGGUUUUCUUUGUAUGGCUUCUUUUUGUGAAUUCAAAAAAUGUUUAAGGUUUUCUGGACAUUCUGGAAUGACUUUAUUCAAAAUUGUGUUAAAGUCAUUGUGGUCAGUGUCAGAAAGAAUGACAUAAGACUCGUCAACUGUUUCAUUUUGUUCAGGUUGAGAGGGAAGCUCUUGUAUCUUCUCUUCUUGUAACUGCCUACAGUUUACACAGGUGGAAUUUACAGAUGUGUAAGUCAACACAACAAGGCAUGAUUUAGAACGUAAUACAGACUGUUGGCUAUUAUCAUCACCGCAUUUAUUCCAUACUUCCUUAAAGAAGUCAUGAUGUGUAGUCAAAGCGUCAUCGUGAUGCUGUAUUCCCUUGCAAUAUUUAAACUUCUUUAUAGCGGAAAAAACGCUGUGAAUGCUAGACUGGGAAAUGGAAGAUUUAUUGGAGAGACCAAGAUUGGUGAUGUUGAUCUUCUUCUCACAUAAAGAUACAGACCAAAUACAGUUUUUCUCAAAUUUCACCUCUGCAAUCAGUCUGUUUCCAUUUAAAAUAUAGUCAGUAGGAUAUCCUACUUUAAUUUCUGCUUCAGUUUCAUUCAUAAUGAAGCAAUGUUUUGUAAUAUAUUGUGAAAUUUCACACAGGUUUGAUUUGAUUUCCUCAUUUUGAAUAGUUUGCCAAGCAACACCCAAAUAAACUCUUUCUUUCUUCUCCCAA